UGAAAAUUAAAUAGCCGCAGAAUAUUUACUGUGCUAAGGUAGCAUAAUCAUUUGUUUUUUAAUUAAAAACUAGAAUGAAAGGUUUAACAUUUUAAUUUCUUUUUAAAUUAUUUCUAUUAAAAUUAUAUUAAAUAUAAAAAUAUAUUCUAUUUUAAAAAAAGACGACAAGACCCUAUUGAAUUUUACUUUUGUUAAGCUGGGGCAGCUAAUUAAUUAUAAUUUUAAUAUUUUAUUUUAUAAAAUGAUCCAAUAAAUUUGAUUACUUGAUUAAAUUACCAUAGGGAUAACAGCGUAAUUUUUUUUUUUAGUUCUUAUUUAAAUAAAAGUUUGCGACCUCGAUGUUGAAUUAAUAUUCUAUGCCACGCAAUAGUCGUAAAAGUAGGUCUGUUCGACCUUUAAUAUAUUACA
This 408-nucleotide ribosomal RNA is filed under the name Anelosimus sp. MS81. RNAcentral's name for it is "partial 16S ribosomal RNA". The record is from RNAcentral. Lineage: Eukaryota; Metazoa; Arthropoda; Arachnida; Araneae; Theridiidae.